UACGGGGGGGGCAAGCGUUGUUCGGAAUUACUGGGCGUAAAGGGCUCGUAGGCGGCCAACUAAGUCAGACGUGAAAUCCCUCGGCUCAACCGGGGAACUGCGUCUGAUACUGGAUGGCUUGAGUUUGGGAGAGGGAUGCGGAAUUCCAGGUGUAGCGGUGAAAUGCGUAGAUAUCUGGAGGAACACCGGUGGCGAAGGCGGCAUCCUGGACCAACACUGACGCUGAGGAGCGAAAGCCAGGGGAGCAAACGGG
This 253-nucleotide ribosomal RNA is filed under the name uncultured bacterium. Its description in RNAcentral is "partial 16S ribosomal RNA". It matches the Rfam family "Bacterial small subunit ribosomal RNA", at positions 524 to 776 of the family's 1533-position model. The record is from RNAcentral.